This 835-nucleotide ribosomal RNA is filed under the name Mycobacterium marinum. Its description in RNAcentral is "bacterial SSU rRNA". It matches the Rfam family "Bacterial small subunit ribosomal RNA", at positions 100 to 935 of the family's 1533-position model. The record is from RNAcentral. Lineage: Bacteria; Bacillati; Actinomycetota; Actinomycetes; Mycobacteriales; Mycobacteriaceae.
GAACGGGUGAGUAACACGUGGGCGAUCUGCCCUGCACUUCGGGAUAAGCCUGGGAAACUGGGUCUAAUACCGGAUAGGACCACGGGAUUCAUGUCCUGUGGUGGAAAGCUUUUGCGGUGUGGGAUGGGCCCGCGGCCUAUCAGCUUGUUGGUGGGGUAACGGCCUACCAAGGCGACGACGGGUAGCCGGCCUGAGAGGGUGUCCGGCCACACUGGGACUGAGAUACGGCCCAGACUCCUACGGGAGGCAGCAGUGGGGAAUAUUGCACAAUGGGCGCAAGCCUGAUGCAGCGACGCCGCGUGGGGGAUGACGGCCUUCGGGUUGUAAACCUCUUUCACUAUCGACGAAGGUUCGGGUUUUCUCGGAUUGACGGUAGAUGGAGAAGAAGCACCGGCCAACUACGUGCCAGCAGCCGCGGUAAUACGUAGGGUGCGAGCGUUGUCCGGAAUUACUGGGCGUAAAGAGCUCGUAGGUGGUUUGUCGCGUUGUUCGUGAAAUCUCACGGCUUAACUGUGAGCGUGCGGGCGAUACGGGCAGACUAGAGUACUGCAGGGGAGAUUGGAAUUCCUGGUGUAGCGGUGGAAUGCGCAGAUAUCAGGAGGAACACCGGUGGCGAAGGCGGGUCUCUGGGCAGUAACUGACGCUGAGGAGCGAAAGCGUGGGGAGCGAACAGGAUUAGAUACCCUGGUAGUCCACGCCGUAAACGGUGGGUACUAGGUGUGGGUUUCCUUCCUUGGGAUCCGUGCCGUAGCUAACGCAUUAAGUACCCCGCCUGGGGAGUACGGCCGCAAGGCUAAAACUCAAAGGAAUUGACGGGGGCCCGCACAAGCGGCGG